This 532-nucleotide ribosomal RNA is filed under the name Halomonas halophila. Its description in RNAcentral is "partial 16S ribosomal RNA". It matches the Rfam family "Bacterial small subunit ribosomal RNA", at positions 999 to 1533 of the family's 1533-position model. Lineage: Bacteria; Pseudomonadati; Pseudomonadota; Gammaproteobacteria; Oceanospirillales; Halomonadaceae. The record is from RNAcentral.
UCCAGAGAUGGAUGGGUGCCUUCGGGAACGCUCAGACAGGUGCUGCAUGGCCGUCGUCAGCUCGUGUUGUGAAAUGUUGGGUUAAGUCCCGUAACGAGCGCAACCCUUGUCCCUAUUUGCCAGCGAUUCGGUCGGGAACUCUAGGGAGACUGCCGGUGACAAACCGGAGGAAGGUGGGGACGACGUCAGGUCAUCAUGGCCCUUACGAGUAGGGCUACACACGUGCUACAAUGGCCGGUACAAUGGGCUGCCAUCCCGCGAGGGGGAGCUAAUCUCAUAAAGCCGGUCUCAGUCCGGAUCGGAGUCUGCAACUCGACUCCGUGAAGUCGGAAUCGCUAGUAAUCGUGCAUCAGAAUGGCACGGUGAAUACGUUCCCGGGCCUUGUACACACCGCCCGUCACACCAUGGGAGUGGACUGCACCAGAAGUGGUUAGCCUAACUUCGGAGGGCGAUCACCACGGUGUGGUUCAUGACUGGGGUGAAGUCGUAACAAGGUAGCCGUAGGGGAACCUGCGGCUGGAUCACCUCCUUA